UACGAAGGGUGCAAACGUUGCUCGGAAUUAUUGGGCGUAAAGCGCACGUAGGCGGCUUUGCAAGUCGGAUGUGAAAUCCCUCGGCUCAACCAAGGAAGUGCAUCCGAAACUGCAGAGCUUGAGUACCAAAGAGGAUCGCGGAAUUCCCGGUGUAGAGGUGAAAAUUCGUAGAUAUCGGGAGGGAACAACCAGUGGACGAAGGGCGGGCGAUCUGGGUUGGGAUACUGACGCUGAGGUGCGAAAGCGUGGGGGAGCAAAACAGGG
This 264-nucleotide ribosomal RNA is filed under the name uncultured bacterium. RNAcentral describes it as "partial 16S ribosomal RNA". It matches the Rfam family "Bacterial small subunit ribosomal RNA", at positions 524 to 777 of the family's 1533-position model. The record is from RNAcentral.